Molecule: unclassified non-coding RNA, 196 nt
Filed under: fungal sp.
Lineage: Eukaryota; Fungi
Description: partial internal transcribed spacer region
Rfam family: Eukaryotic small subunit ribosomal RNA (bases 1-46)
Source: RNAcentral
AAGUCGUAACAAGGUCUCCGUAGGUGAACCUGCGGAAGGAUCAUUACAAAUCCAAGUCAAGUCUAUUGACAAGUUGAAAUGUGUGUGAGAGAGAGAGAGAGAAUAUAUUUCCACACAAAGUCCAUACAUUCAAUGUUGAACAACACAUAACCAAUAUUCUUUUACACAACUUGUAACAAUGGAUCUCUAGGCUCUU